UGAGCAAUCUGCCCUUCUCUUUGGAAUAAGCGUUGGAAACGACGUCUAAUGCCGAAUAUGACCUCCUUUCGCAUGAUCGGAGGUGGAAAGCUCCGGCGGAGAAGGAUGAGCUCGCGGCCUAUCAGCUAGUUGGUGUGGGUAAUGGCCCACCAAGGCGACGACGGGUAGCCGGCCUGAGAGGGUGACCGGCCACACUGGGACUGAGACACGGCCCAGACCUCCGUACGGGAGCAG
This 234-nucleotide ribosomal RNA is filed under the name uncultured bacterium. RNAcentral's name for it is "partial 16S ribosomal RNA". It matches the Rfam family "Bacterial small subunit ribosomal RNA", at positions 118 to 347 of the family's 1533-position model. The record is from RNAcentral.